Molecule: ribosomal RNA, 1715 nt
Filed under: Triticum aestivum (bread wheat)
Lineage: Eukaryota; Viridiplantae; Streptophyta; Magnoliopsida; Poales; Poaceae
Description: partial small subunit ribosomal RNA
Source: RNAcentral
UAAAUCAAAACAUAGCAACCUCAUGACCAAGAUUUUGUAGAGCAUAUACGUACGGGGGAACAUGCUCGACCUGGGUGGCGUAAUUGACGGGUAAGGCACAAUUAAAAACGUCGGCGGAACGUGACAAAGAAACGAGGGGAGCGGCAUCAGCAAGGGUACUAGGGUAGCAAUAGAGGAGGGGUGCGGGUGCGGGCGUGGUGGCCCUCAAUGAUCGGGGCGGGGUGUGGUGUUUAGGUGUUAGGUAGACGAAAGGAGGCAGCGUCGCUCGUUGCCGGCACGAGGCCGGGCGCGGCGGCGCGGGGUGCCCCGAUUGGCGUCGAGGGGAACGGAGGACAUGCCGGACCGUGGCGGAGGUUGCGGUGGGUGCGCAGCGGCCACGAGCCCUGCUUCGAGACGACGGUGUAGCGGGGGUAGGUGGCUGCCUAGGCUGGAGGGUGCGGUGGAGCGUGUACCGGCAGCUACUUAGGUCCAUGACACCUUUUUCGUACUGCCGCUGCUCGACAGUGAUGUCUAGACCGUGCCCGACUCUGAAGCCCCUACUUCCGGCCGCUGUUCCGUUCCUGGUUAGGCCGCUCGAGAAGUGGUUCAGUAAAACAAAGGAGCAAAAAAGAGAGACUUUAUAAAGAAAGGAACAAAAAAGAGAGACUUUUGACAUCAAGAAAGGAGCUAAAAAGAGAGCUCCAAAGGACCUUAAGAAAAAGUCUCUAUUCUAACUACGCCGCUCGAGAAGAGGUUCAGUAAAAUAAACGAGAAAAAAAGAGAGAUUUUUCAAAGGAUCUGUAAAAAACAUCCUCUAAUCUAAACACCACAAGUUUAGACCAAAAAAAAAGCUGCCACUGUUUAGACUCUUUAGAUAUCAAAAGAGUACUGACACUAAACGUUAAAAAGUGGAAGUUUUGAACCCGUAGAAUGUAAAACCCCAAAUAACAGGAGAAGAAUAAACUUUAAAACAACUAAUUAGUCACGUAAAAAUAGUCACUUUAAGGUGUUUCACGAAAAAGCUCAUCAAUAUAACGAGCUAAUUACUCAACAACUACCUAUACAUUAAUAUCAAUAAAAAACAACGCAGCGUCUUAUUAGAGUAGUUCAUAAUAGUGACAGUUUCAACAUUUAAACAACUACCUAGAUGGCAGAAACUUACAUAAACGACUGUUUGAUACAAUAAACUUUAGUCAAACAGUUCUAAGUGGCAAUUCAAUUAAAAACACUUAGUACAUACCCGUAAUAAAAAAACACGUACCUACCCAGACUACUUCCCUCAACAAAGGUCGAUUACUUUUAUUCCGUCACUUAAAAGAACGGUCGAGGCUGAAUCGACAAGAACGUACGUCAACAGUCACGGUUAAACGUCACAAUUAAGGCAUGUCACCGAUUAAUUGAUGGGUCCUUCGUACUAGUGACUAUAUUCGAAGAAAAAGCAAGUGAACAAGUGAUUUGGAUACAACAGACACCAACCAUUACAUAACAGUCAAAAUUUUAGUUCCGUGUCGAUUAAUUGCUAGGUGCUUCGAAACAUGUGACUGGAAGAGCCAUUCGAACGGGGGAUGUUAAAAGUUUACACAACGACUGUGCCACAUGACAGUCCAGAUAUAAAAACCGGGUACAUUAGGAACCAAAUGUCUUCACACAUCAUCUACUUUAUGUGACAGUCACAAUUUGUGAUAACAAAGGUUUAAAAUUAGAAAUACGGACGUGGUUAGAGAGGUGUUAAAGUG